Long non-coding RNA from Mirounga angustirostris (Northern elephant seal), 6194 nucleotides. RefSeq lists it as uncharacterized. The transcript is spliced from 2 exons. The record is from RefSeq and is a predicted model, not a curated record. Lineage: Eukaryota; Metazoa; Chordata; Mammalia; Carnivora; Phocidae.
CCACCCAGGUGCCCCUUGAGCUCCUAAGUUUUAUCCUUAAGCCUAUCCUUGCCUUUCUGCCUUAGUGGUAGGACCAGACUUUGGAGUGAUGAGCGUUGAGAGCAUGAACAUCUUCUCCUCUUGGUAAUUUUUUUUAAAGAUUUUAUUUAUUUAUUUGAGAGAGAGAGAGAGCAUGAGCGGGGGGGGGGGUGGGGCAGAGGCAGAGGGAGAAGCUGGCUCCCCCCCUGAGCAGGACCCUGGGAUCAUGACCUGAGCUGAAGGCAGCGCUUAACCAACUGAGCCACCCAGGUGCCCCUCUUCCCCUCUUGUUAAUGAGUUACCAUACUGCACAGCAAAGUGCUGUAAGGAAAAUGGAAUUGGAAUUCUGAAAAUGGAAUUGGAAUUCUACACCAGAACAUUCUGUAAAGGAAAGGAAACUCCCAGAAAUGCAUUUAAGGUUAAAACUAAAUUUUCAUGACACAAAUCAGAGAAGAGAUUCGUAUUUUCUUUCUCUUUCAUUGCCUCAAAUUAUCUUUACCCGGGGGACACACUUGAGUAGAAUGUGGGAGAAUAGAUUCAUGGUCACCAAAGUGGGAUGCACAAGGUGGUUCAUGGGGCACAAGAAGGACCUACUGACACCCCUGUAUUUAUUUAAAAAUAAAUUAAACUUUACUUAUAUUUAAUAUACAUACUUCUGGUACUUUACAUAUAUAAUAUAUACCUCAUUUUACAGGUUUUGGGAAUAUAUGAACUUUUAUUCCCAACUAAUAGAGGCAUAGAAAUAAAAAAUUGGGGGGUGGCACCUGGCUGGCUCAGUCAGUAGAGUAUAUGACUCUUGAUCUUGGGGUCAUGAGUUUGAGCCCCACAUUGGGAAUAGAGAUUACUUUAAAUUUUUUUAAAAAUUAGGGAGACUGUUGGAAAAAAGGGUGAGAAUGUAUACUUCCUGACCCUUGUGCGCUGCGUAUAAGACCAUUUAUUUUGGGCAGAAGCUUCAGGAAGGAGGCCCCAAGUUCUUUGUGGAACAAACUGGUACCGCAUGGAAAUUGCUGGAGCCUCAAAGGAAGGGAGGGAGGAGGGAGACAGGUUACCAUAGAUGAUUUUAAGAAAAUUGAAUGGAGGGGCGCCUGGGUGACUCAGUCGUUAAGCGUCUGCCUUCGGCUCAGGUCAGGAUCCCAGGGUCCUGGGAUCGAGCCCCGCAUCGGGCUCCCUGCUCGGCGGGAAGCCUGCUUCUCCCUCUCCCACUCCCCCUGCUUGUGUUCCCUCUCUCACUGUGUCUCUCUCUGUCAAAUAAAUAAAUAAAAUCUUUAAAAAAGAAAAGAAUUGAAUGGAGGGUGCCUGCUCAGCGGGGAGUCUGCCUCUCUGCUCCUCCCCCUGCUCACGCUCUCUUUCUCUCAAAUAAAUAAAUAAAAUCUUUAAAAAAAAAAAAUUUGAAUGGAGCAAAGCUCUUCUGUAUUUGACCUGGGAAAGGAAAGGGUACAGGAUGGUAUAUAAAUGUUGCCUUUGUGUGUUUUCCCAAGGACUUCCCUCAUCACAAUUGAGCAUCACAGGUAUCUGUUGAGCUUGUCUCCUCAGAAAUCACGUCGUGUUCCUCACCAUCCAGCAACCCAACCUGCACAAGACGAAACUGCACUGAGUAUAGGCAAAGUAAUAUGGCCAGUCUUUGACUCAGGCAUGUGUGAGUCUGUAAUUGAAGGAGGAACGAUUUUGUUGUUUGGAAGGAGCUCUACAGAGGAGGCGCUAAAAUGAAAAUUCCUCAUGCGUUCACCAGCGGGAAAACAAGACUAGCAUGACUACGCACGGGCGAAGGUCCUGUUUUUUAUGAAUUCCAGAGCAGUGUUUCUCCCACUUGCACGUGCAUCCGAGUCACCUGGGGAUCUAGUUGAACUGCAGAUUCUGAGUGGACCGCCACGCGUGAGUAGUACGUGCUAGGUCACUGGUUCUGAUCGCCUGCAGAGCUCGGAAAACCACUGAUGCCCAAGCCCCACUCCCAGAGCAUCUGGUUUGACUGGUCUGGGGUACGUGCCCCCCCCCGCACCCCCCUCCCUCCCGGGCAGAGAGAUUUUUUUAAAUCGCCCCACGUGGUUUUAAUAUGCACCAUGGUGGAGACAUGGCAGCUUUGCACGUGUAAGUGAACUUGUCCUCUUGGGAGGGAGGAUAUGGCUUCCUUUUGGGUCCUGAGUCAGACUGAGCCGUGUUCUUCAGCCCUUGAAUUGAAGAAAGCAUCCUUCUAACUGACAGGUUCUCGACCGGGGUGAUUGUGCCCCUCAGGAUCAAGAGACUUGGGGCAGUGUCUGGAGGUGCGUUUGCUUGUCACCCCUGGAGAGGGGGGCUACCAGCGCCGAGUGAGCAGAGGUUAGGGCUGCGGCCUUGCCUCACUGAACUGUCAGCCUUAUGAGGGUAAGGGACCCUCUCCUUUGUUGCCCGUGGUAUCCCCAACGCAGAGCACAGUUUGCCUGGGAUUUUGUAGGCAUUGCACAAAUAUUCGUUGGAUGAAUGGAUAGAUCUACUACUAGCAUAAAUGUUAACCUCGCUGGGAAAGGGAAUUGGUUGUUAACCACACAUUCAGAUUUAAUAAGAUGGAGAGGAGAAUUUGCGGCCAGGCACUGUUUUUCUGACGUGAUUCUGCGGGAAUUGGCUUCACUUAGAAUCACCUGCAGUAGUUGAACUAUUAAGGUCUGGGCCACACCCCACGGAUUCAGGUUCCAUUGCUCUGCGGUGGGGUUGGGCGUCAGUAUUUAAAGCUCUCCAGGUAACUCCAUGGUGCCCCGAGGUUGAGAACCACCGUCUGGGUCCUUGCAUCUCAAACUGCGGUCCUGAGACUGGCAGCGUCACCGAACCCUGGGAGUUUGUUGGAAAUCCACGGUCUUAGGCCCUCACCCCAGACCUGCGGAAUCAGGAUCUGCCUUUUAACAAAGUCUCCAGGUAACGUGUUUGCAUAUCCAGGUCUGAGAAGGCAGUUAAGUUCCUUUCUGGUUAAUGUCCCGUUCUAGUUGGCCUGGAAAGCUGUUGACCGCCCCAUGAAGGAAAGUGUUGUAUAUAUCUGGAGGCUGGAGGGCGGUCUGCCAUGCGAAAAUAUUUUACAGAGAAAGAGGUAUUGUUACCAUCAGAAUCAGUUGUGAUUCUGUUGUAGAUAACUGGCUUGGGAGACAGAAGGCAAAAAAAAAAAAAAAAAAAAAAAAAACACUCUUUUUCGACUUCGUUUCUAUUCUUGGUUUCUUAAAACCAUCACCAGGCAAAACAGGGGGGAAAAAGGCGCAGGGGGGGAGUUGUAGGAACCAAAUGGAUGGAAUGAAAUAAUCUGGCCCUGUGUAGUAGAAAAAUAGAAGGCAGAAAGUUACAUCUUCCUCUUGCAGAAAAAAGAAUGUGUUUCCUGUUUGCUCUCGCUGAGAGCCAGAGCAUAAUGCCUCAGUGUGUGCGGAGCUGCUGAACAAAGAACAUAGACGUGGCUGACGGGGCAGAGUGGGAACUGCCAAAUAUUGGCCCGGUUGGAAACCAUGUGACAAUCGCAACUCCUGAUUGCAUUGAUGGGGUGAGAGGGAAAAUGUGCAUUGCUCUAUAUCCUUUGCAGCUUCCCAUGAAAGACCGUUGAAGGUAAUUAAUGUUACCGUCCAGAGUUUUGUGGGAGCAUCGGAAGAUCCCCCAUGAUUGAAAGCUUUUUCUUGUUUUUCAGUACCAAGUUUAUAACCAAAUGACUUUCUGCAAGAAAGUCGACUUUACAGUAAUCCCAUGGCUGCCUGCAGAAAGGUUUCAAAAUUGGGACAUUUUCCAUUCAUGUUUAUCAUGUUCCAUAUGUCCUGUGAGACGCCCCUGGAAUCACAGAAAAAUGGACCCUGAAUUGCUGAACAGGGGGCCUUGUGGAUUCUCUAACUCAGUGGUUCUCAGUCUGUUUUUCUGGAGUCAACCCACCCAUACGUAGAGUAUCAAACUCUGCAGUUAGGAGCAUCGGUUCCAGAAAGCGUGAAUUCGAGGGUAGAGGGGUGCUCACGUUGAAACCAAAAAAUCCUUACUUCUGAUAUGCCCCAUAUACUGCGGGUUCUCAAACUCUGCUGUCCAUUGGAAUCAGCUGAGGAGCUUCACUGUCUUCUGCUCUCUGGUUUCCACCCCCAGGCAGGGAUUCGGAUUUAAUUGUCCUGGGGUGCAACCUGGCUGGGGAUGGUGGACGCCUCCCCACCCCAGGUGAUUCUCAGGCGCAGCCAACAUGAAGACUCACUGCCUCACUACACCAUCCUUCUCUCCCAGCAUUGCGAAUCGCUGUUUCGCCCUUGGCUUCAACGAGGAGGGGAGUAAGGCUGAGGGGUCAUGUUGAUGGCAGGUCUGAUGGAAAGGGACCAGUGGACUCCUAGGAGGACUUCGCUGUGGGGAGAGGUGCUGUCCGCUCGCUGCCCUAGUUUCUGGUGUAGUCAGGCCAGUAUGAGGAAGUUCGUGCUGCUCACCCUUCCCUGUAUCUUCCCCCGAGGUGGUUCCAGAGUCCUCCCGGAACUGGGAAACCCAAGGUAAUGAACUGAACUAACUCCACCUUGCUCAUCGUCAUUUGAGCUUGACUUACCUGUUUGUUACCAGCAGUAGAAACACUCCACAUUCAUCAGUAGACACACUAGACACGGACCAGACUGCAGUUAAUGUCGUUGGAAGACGAAGGCCACUGUUAGAGGGGGCAUCUGCAGCUUAGUACCGUACUUCAUGCGCCAACCAUUGAGAAUAAGGGCUUCGGUAUUUCACUGUCAUUAUCUUCGAUUCAGCAGUGACUCACGGUGGAGAGAAAUGGGACCCAGAAGAAGUCAUUCUCUAGGUCAGUGUUAGUCAGUCAUGUUGAGAGCUGGGGAAGUGACGAUGUCAGCAGAAGGAUGAGUGCUUAGGGUUUGAUGGCCUCCCUUCAUGGAGGCCGAGAGGGGAAAUGUCUUGAAAUUUGAGUACAGAGGGCUGGCUCAUAUAGGGGCUCUAUGCCUUCCAGGCCCUGUAACGUCAACAGUGCUGGGAACUUAUAAAUACUGUGGAUGUAUAAUAGAAGCAUUUUUCACAUGCUCAAGUAAAGCAGCUGUAUCCUGAUACAUACAGUACUAUAAACAUACAGAUGAAGGAAUGUGGCAUUUAUGGGGAAUGUCCUAAAGGCAUUGGGUUAAAUUAAUCAUUGAUUAAAUAUGAAAAUUCAGGAUGAGAUUUUGUUUUCUAAUUCAUUAGCUUAAAAUUUGAAUAAAUUUGCAUUGAUGCAUAUGCAGCAUGCGAAUCUUUGCAGCACUUAAUGGGAAAAACAAUAAGCAUUUUAUGCCUGUAGAAUCAGGAGAAGGGGAUAGAUAGCAAGGUCAACAUUGCAUUUCUGUUGCUCAUUUAACCAGUUACAAGUAUAUCACCGAAGUGUGCAGUGUUAAGGUUUUGUGCUUUUCAGAUGUGUUUUUUUCUGUGUGUUUUAGCUUUAAAAAAAAAAAAAAAGACGUGUCCGUUUUUCACUAGGGCCCAUUAUGAUAACAGUUGGAAGCAAUGGGGGUGAAAAACUACUCAAAAUCUAGCAUUUUACAAAAUGCUGUAUGGUUUUCCCAUAUAAGGCGAGCCUUGUUUUCCUGCCAUGCGUACUUUCCUUCUCUGCUCAUUCCCUGCUGUUGAACAUCUGCCUGCACUUCCUCGCUCUGUCGCUCUUCCUCACUCUCGUCUGUGGCAGUGACGCAAGGUGGAAGGACCUGGGACCAGAGGAGGUCGUCCCCGCACUGCAGUUGGUUUUCACACGCAGAGGGUGAUGAGCACCUUUGUGUCCUCAGGAGGGUGACCAUGCCCCACUCCCGUUCACGCAAGCCCUCCCCCUGCCUCUGGAGACUGUGCAGCGGAGGAGGCAGAAAUAGCGGAGGGCAGGAUGGGGAGUAGGUUCACUUCUGGAGGUCCUUGCCUUCUCCCUUCCUGAACAAACCUUCGUGAUGCCUCGACCAUUGCAAAACUCUAACAGAUAUUUUGGGAGGUUGCCUCUGUUCGUCCCAGGGGUAACUUACUGGAGGAGAAAGAAAGGUAUUGAGCUUACACUUCCUGGACAUGUAUUUGAAUAGCAAAGAAUUCUCCUUUUUCAGGUGGGAAGCAAGAUGAUUAAUGGAGUAUUUAGUUGCUUGUGUUAACUAAUAUGUUUGGGAUGAAAUAAAGUCCCAGAAACUUUGUUUUUUAUAUAGUGUCUGUAUACUUUAAAAUAACCCAGUUCUCCAUGUAUAAUUAUAGCUUACUUAUGCACAGUUUAUAUA